This 497-nucleotide ribosomal RNA is filed under the name uncultured bacterium. Its description in RNAcentral is "partial 16S ribosomal RNA". It matches the Rfam family "Bacterial small subunit ribosomal RNA", at positions 28 to 507 of the family's 1533-position model. The record is from RNAcentral.
GACGAACGCUGGCGGCGUGCCUAAUACAUGCAAGUUGAGCGCUGAAGGUUGGUACUUGUACCAACUGGAUGAGCAGCGAACGGGUGAGUAACGCGUGGGGAAUCUGCCUUUGAGCGGGGGACAACAUUUGGAAACGAAUGCUAAUACCGCAUAAAAACUUUAAACACAAGUUUUAAGUUUGAAAGAUGCAAUUGCAUCACUCAAAGAUGAUCCCGCGUUGUAUUAGCUAGUUGGUGAGGUAAAGGCUCACCAAGGCGAUGAUACAUAGCCGACCUGAGAGGGUGGUCGGCCACAUUGGGACUGGGACACGGCCCAAACUCCUACGGGAGGCAGCAGUAGGGAAUCUUCGGCAAUAGACGAAAGUCUGACCGAGCAACGCCGCGUGAGUGAAGAAGGUUUUCGGAUCGUAAAACUCUGUUGGUAGAGAAGAACGUUGGUGAGAGUGGAAAGCUCAUCAAGUGACGGUAACUACCCAGAAAGGGACGGCUAACUACGUG